AUGCAGGUAAAGCAGAAUGUGAAUGAAAAUGCAGUAAGUGACCAGAUUCCAGGCAAAGAGGAGGAACUGAGUAGCAGUCCUCAGACCCAGACAGUUGAAGCUAUGCCUGAGCCCACAAGGUAUCCUUCUAGAGAGAGGAGGAGGCCAGCCUACCUCCAUGACUAUGUUUCUCAACAGGCAUCUGAUGAGGAAACUGAUCAGGUACAGAUUAACAUAGAUUACUGUUAUAGAGUGACAUGUAACAUACCUGUAACUUUCACAGAAGCUGUAACCUCAGAUAGAUCAAAAGAGUGGGUUGCUGCGAUGGAUGAGGAGAUGCAGUCACUUAUAGAGAAUAACACAUUUACCCUGAGUAGCUUGCCAGAGGGUAAGACGGUAGUGGGGGGUAGAUGGGUUUAUGCAAUCAAGAACAACAUAGAUGGAUCUGAAAAGUGCAAAGCACGUUAUGUGGCAAAAGGAUACAGUCAGAAGAGAGGUGUAGAUUAUGAGGAGACAUUUUCCCCUACAGCUAAUUUGACGAGUAUCAGAGUGAUAAUGCAAAAAGCAGCACAAGAAAACCUGAUUUUGCACCAAAUGGAUGUUAAAACUGCCUAUUUGAAUGCACCAAUAGACCAUGAAAUUUACAUGGAACAGCCAGAGGGCUAUGAGGUGAAAUCUGACACAAAUGAAAAAUUGUUUUGUAAAUUGGAAAGAUCACUGUAUGGUUUAAAACAAUCUGGCAGAAAUUGGAACAAAUUGCUGCAUGAGUACCUAACCAAAAACCACUUUGAGCAGAAUCAAGCUGAUCACUGUGUUUACACAUGGGAAACGGAAAAUGAAAAGGUGAUAAUUGUAAUAUGGGUUGAUGAUUUGUUGAUUGCUGCAAGUGAUGUAAAUGUACUCAGAAAUGUGAAGGACAUGAUUACAGAAAGAUUCAAAAUGAAGGACUUGGGCAAAUUAAGGCAUUUUUUGGGUAUUGAUUUUAAUCAAAGUGAUAACUGUGUGAGAAUGUCACAAACAAAAUAUGUGGGAAAAAUAUUGAAAAGGUUUAACAUGCAGGAUUGCAAACCUAGAUCGACACCUUGUGAACAAAAAUUAGACUAUACUAAUGGUGCUGAAAAAGAUGACUGAUGUGAGAAAAAUAUAGAGAGGCAGUUGGAAGUCUUCUUUAUCUGACCAUUUGUACUAGACCUGAUUUAAGUUUUGUGGUGUGCAAACUGGCACAGUAUUUCACAGAGCCAACUGCUGAGCAAUGGGCCACAGUUAAACAUGUACUGAGGUAUCUUAAAGGUACAAUUGACAAAGAGCUGUGUUACAGAAAAUGUAAUGAGACACUGGGAAUAAGAGCAUACUGUGAUGCAGAUUGGGCGGCUAGUAGUGAUAGACGUAGUACAACAGGCUAUUGUGUAAGUCUAACCAAAUGUGGUGCUUUGAUUUCAUGGAGGACCAAGAAACAGCCCACUGUCGCACUGUCCACUUGUGAGGCAGAAUAUAUAUCACUAGCCACAACCAUACAAGAGUGUCUCUAUCUUAAACAGCUGUUAAACAAUCUUGACAAGUGUCAGUACUCCCCACCUAAGGUAUAUGAAGAUAACCAAGGUACAAUAGCUUUAGCAAAAAAUCCUGUAAGCAGGCAAAGAUGCAAACAUGUAGACAUCAAGUAUCAUUUUAUUAGGUCUACUGUAAAUAAUGGUGUAAUUAUGUUAGAAUAUUGUCCAACUAAUGAGAUGGUAGCAGAUGUAUUGACAAAGCCUGCAACCAAGUGCAAGUUGAUGAAGUUUGCCGCAUUUAUUUUUGGAAAAUGAUGUUACAUAUAUUAACAAUGUGAGAGCAAGUGGGGGUGUUAACUAUGUGCUCUCAAAUUGUAGUUUUGUUUUUGUUUUGUUUAUUUGAUUGAAUGAUGGAACAACUGUGAUUGAUUGUUAAUGUGGGUGUGUACCUGUAAUGUUUCAAUAAAAAUCACCUUGAGUGAGCGCAGCUGUUGCUGUGCGUUCGAAGUCAGUCAAGUCGUUGCGUCGACUCUGUUAACAGAAACACUGCAGAUAUAUUUAGAAUAAGUUAAACGCUAACGUUAUAGUUUGACCUCUUAUUAACGUUCGCGCUCUUCCACUGAUAAACAUGGUAUUAGCUUUGUGGCUAAUCUAAUAUAGCAAUGCAUUAGCGGCUGUAAGUGAUGUUACAGAAUAUUUAGAAGUGAUAAUGAUAGGACCGUUAGCUAGAACUACCACACUGUUUUUAUAUACAGUGUAUGAACUAAAUCUACAAUCAUUUCACAUGACGAACGACAGACUCACCGUCAAAAGAGUACAUCUCCGUGGCUCGGCUGAUAUCGGUCGGGCUCUACAACGCACAAUGCUUAUUGUGAUUUAUUGGAUCAGUAGUGCCAUUCACUGUUCCGUCCAUUAACUGAAAACAGGCAAGUCUAUCGAUUCUUGGGAUUUAAGAAUCAAUAUUGUUUCGUAAAAAUGAGACUCAAUUAAAAUCGAGAUAUCAAUAUUUUUUAUCCAGCCCUACAUCUAACACAUGUAUGUUAUAUCUCACAAAUGCUUGUUAUAAAAUCAGAAUUGCAAGUUUAGCCUAUAUCUCAAGAAAAACGUUAAGUGUGAGAUAAAAAGUAGCAAUUAUGUUUAAAAAAAAAUUAUUCAGUGGGAACUUGCUUCCAUAAAUAUCAGUUACUGACUUAGUUGAGCUAAAAGAUGCCAAUGAAUAAUAAAUAGCUUAAGAAUCUGCCAUACCUGUAUAUACAGAGUCAAUACACAGAAAUUUGUUCAACUAAUGGUACUAGCAUAAAAAAGAACAGUUUAUCGCAAUUAAUAUAAGUUAUCAGAGUAUAAAUAAAAUAUAAUGUAAUAUAAAAUAUAUUGAUUAUAUUAAUUUGUCUUGCAUUGGUAAAAAAAGAAAAAAAAAUUUAAAUUAUUCUUAUUAUCUGCCUAACAAUGAGUGAAAAGUAAGGAAAGAGAGAAGACAGAAACAAAAACAGGAAUGAAAAUUACUCUUACAAGUUAGUCAUCUAAUUCAUUUUUUUUUUUUUUUUUUAAGGUUAAAAAAAAAAAAAAAAAAAAAAAGAUUAAUUACCCAUUGGAUAACUGCUAUUUGGUCAGACUUGUUCUUAAGACACAGUCCUAACAUAAGUGCUAAGUCAGUCUACAUAUUAACAAGUCAUAUUAAGUUAUUUCAAAAAACCUCUCAGGAAAAACUGCUAAGUUUAGCGUAUGUAAGUGCUGCAGAAGUGGAGAAACAAAUUCAUUUUCAGAAAACAGCCUUUAAAAAUAUGAUUGAAAUCCUCUGGAUAUGCAAACAGAUGGUGUGAAAUAAAAUAAACACUAAAAUGUGUACUUUGGCUGUAUUUUUUAUUCUGAAAGAAGACUUUAUUAAAGCAAAAUGGCUCAAAAUCUUUUGCCAAAACAGCAAUGCAACUUACACAUUCAGGGCCGGAUUAAGGUGGUCAGGGGCCCCUAGGCUGCUCUUUGUUUAAGGCAAGAAAGAAAAUAAGAAAUUUAUCUAGUGCCAUACAUGUUUCACACACAGACAGUAAGGUGAACUGGCAUACACACACACACACACUGAGACAGCCAAUCCUACAGUGUUUCCUCUACACUCCCAGUGUCCCCACAGGAUUUUGUGAGACUGUGAUGGGUGCACAUUGGUUCCUCUAGUCUAGGGGGUUCUGCGGGUAUAAGAAAAUUUUGUUAAUUUUAAAUGCAUAAAUCUGGUGCAUUUUGAGAGCAGAAUCAAGUGACUAGAUCAAUUAAGAAUGAUUGAUUUAUUGGUUCCAUAAAGUGUUGGGUAAGUUAGUCAAAAAAUUCUUUAAAAUUAUAAUUUGAUUACAUUACUGAUUACUGCAUUAAAAAGUAAUCUGAUUACUAAUUACUUUCCUUUUAAGUUACUUUCAAGUUUACUUUACUUUAGUUAUCAAACCUAAAAAAAUACACUACAAAGAGAAACUCGUAAUUCUUUCAUUAA
Long non-coding RNA from Cyprinus carpio carpio, 3942 nucleotides. The record is from Ensembl. NCBI's taxonomy places the organism in Eukaryota, Metazoa, Chordata, Actinopteri, Cypriniformes, Cyprinidae.